GAGACCUUCCCAGGAAUGAGGAUUUGUUGUAGACAUAAAGAGAGAAAAAGAUGGAGACUGAGAUGAUGAAGAGACGAGGGUGAAGAGAAGGUGAUGGAGAAGAGGAGCAAACGAAAAACCUGGAGUAUAAGGAGAUUGUCUCCUGGCCUGCUGUGUAUCCACCAAGCUGGCACUGCUGCUCCUGCCUCCUCGUAGAUGAGUCAGGCCUGCAACUUCUCUUAUCGUCCGUAUUUCCCUGUGUGGGUUUCUGGACUCCCUCAACUCAUGCCCCCCAUCCUGACACCUGGGAGGAGGAGGGAGGAAUGGAAGGGGAGAUGGCCAAGCAGACAGAAAGAGCAGCAGUGAUUGAGAGUGGCAAAAACAGAGGAAGUGAUAGAGACAGAGAGCCAGCCAGCUGAGCAAGACUCCAGACACAAAAGGCUGUGAAGACACACACAUUUUCACACACACACACACACACACACACACACACACACACACACACACACACACACACACACACACACACACACACUGACAUACGCUCACUUAUGGACGAAGACAAGGGGAGACUGACAGAUAGGACUUGCGCCUGGGGCAUGUGCUGGAGGAGACACCCACACUCGUUUUUCGAUUCGUUCCCUCACUUGGAGUGACGGAAGGAGCAGGGCUGGCUGUCGUCAGCCUGGCCCAGAGCAGGAAGUGUGCUGGGGAUAAGGCAGCCAUGUGGCAGGAUGUUAUGGAUUUCUAAUUAGAGCAAUUCAUCUGUCAACAGGGGCGCGCUUUCACUGGAGCUUUCUCUGGCCCUGCUUUCGCCGAACCUUCAUACUUCACACUCCCAACUUCAUCCACACUCUACUCACAC
Molecule: long non-coding RNA, 844 nt
Filed under: Mastacembelus armatus (zig-zag eel)
Lineage: Eukaryota; Metazoa; Chordata; Actinopteri; Synbranchiformes; Mastacembelidae
Description: lncRNA (ENSMAMG00000024414.1)
Source: RNAcentral